Molecule: unclassified non-coding RNA, 318 nt
Filed under: Hevea brasiliensis (rubber tree)
Lineage: Eukaryota; Viridiplantae; Streptophyta; Magnoliopsida; Malpighiales; Euphorbiaceae
Source: RNAcentral
GCUGCAAGAAAUUUUGUUCCAGUAUCCUUUUAUCAUUUUUCAUUUCCUUAGGAUGAGACUUUAAUAAAUGUAUGCGUCUAUGCAUGCAUAUAUGAGUUAAUUUUUAUAUGCAAGUAUGUGUGCUUGAUGUAUAGGAAAGAUUUUUCUGCUAUGCUUGGUUUUUUGUUCUUAUAUAUCUAUUUAAUGAUACACAAAUGACUUCAAACCUAAUGGGAUAUUUGGUUUGUGAAGAGACAUGUAGCUGUGAUCAUAUUGGAUUCACCAUGUUUACUUGGUAUUUGUUCUCCGUUGGCCAUAGCUUUUUUUUUUUUUUUCAUU